This 468-nucleotide ribosomal RNA is filed under the name uncultured bacterium. RNAcentral describes it as "partial 16S ribosomal RNA". It matches the Rfam family "Bacterial small subunit ribosomal RNA", at positions 28 to 507 of the family's 1533-position model. The record is from RNAcentral.
GACGAACGCUGGCGGCGUGCUUAACACAUGCAAGUCGAACGGAAAGGCCCUGCUUUUGUGGUGUGCUCGAGUGGCGAACGGGUGAGUAACACGUGAGUAACCUGCCCUUGACUUUGGGAUAACUUCAGGAAACUGGGUCUAAUACCGGAUAGGAGCUCCUGCUGCAUGGUGGGGGUUGGAAAGUUUCGGCGGUUGGGGAUGGACUCGCGGCUUAUCAGCUUGUUGGUGGGGUAGUGGCUUACCAAGGCUUUGACGGGUAGCCGGCCUGAGAGGGUGACCGGCCACAUUGGGACGGAGAUACGGCCCAGACUCCUACGGGAGGCAGCAGUGGGGAAUAUUGCACAAUGGGCGGAAGCCUGAUGCAGCAACGCCGCGUGCGGGAUGACGGCCUUCGGGUUGUAAACCGCUUUCGCCUGUGACGAAGCGUGAGUGACGGUAAUGGGUAAAGAAGCACCGGCUAACUACGUG